UGGGGAUUGGUGAAAUGGCAUCACGUCGCGCUCUGGACGCGAAAUUUGAGGUUCAAAUCCUUGAUCCCCAGCCU
This 74-nucleotide transfer RNA is filed under the name Chloroflexota bacterium. RNAcentral's name for it is "Chloroflexi bacterium tRNA-Gln". It matches the Rfam family "tRNA". From Rfam's summary of the family: Transfer RNA (tRNA) molecules are approximately 80 nucleotides in length. Their secondary structure includes four short double-helical elements and three loops (D, anti-codon, and T loops). RNAcentral also lists the same sequence under 2 other names. The record is from RNAcentral. Lineage: Bacteria; Bacillati; Chloroflexota.